GGUGAGAUGGCCGAGCGGUCUAAGGCGCCAGACUAAGGAUCAGAGCAAUUAUUGUUCAUCAUUGGCUAUUCGAAUAUUCGAAUUGUUAUCUGGUCCUCCGGGGCGUGGGUUCGAAUCCCACUCUCAUCA
Transfer RNA from Hypholoma sublateritium FD-334 SS-4, 129 nucleotides. It matches the Rfam family "tRNA". Rfam says of the family: Transfer RNA (tRNA) molecules are approximately 80 nucleotides in length. Their secondary structure includes four short double-helical elements and three loops (D, anti-codon, and T loops). Further hydrogen bonds mediate the characteristic L-shaped molecular structure. tRNAs have two regions of fundamental functional importance: the anti-codon, which is responsible for specific mRNA codon recognition, and the 3' end, to which the tRNAs corresponding amino acid is attached (by aminoacyl-tRNA synthetases). tRNAs cope with the degeneracy of the genetic code in two manners: having more than one tRNA (with a specific anti-codon) for a particular amino acid; and 'wobble' base-pairing, i.e. permitting non-standard base-pairing at the 3rd anti-codon position. Lineage: Eukaryota; Fungi; Basidiomycota; Agaricomycetes; Agaricales; Strophariaceae. The record is from Rfam.